GUCUGCUGCCUGUGCCACUGCAGGCCCCAGACGGUGCCCACCUGGCCCCAGCGCACAUCCGCUGCCUCCGGGGCCCCUCCUGGGGGUGCGCAGGUCCCUCCAGACAUGAUGGGGUGGCCGUGGCUGUCCUGCCUCUUGCUUCCUGCCCUUGUGGUGUCUGUGGCAGCCAACACGGCCCCAAUGUUCGCAUCCAACAUGUCGAUGGUGAGCCUGCCUGAAGAUCUGCCAGUGGGUGCCGAGGCCUUCUGGUUGGCAGCUCAGGACCAAGAAAAUGACGAGCUGAAAUAUGGGAUUAGUGGCUCCAAUGCCUACUUCUUUAAUGUCACCUCAAAUACUGGGGAAGUGAAGCUGGCCAGCCCUCUGGACUAUGAGACGCUCUACUGGUUCGCCAUCACCAUCUCCGUGAGCGACAGUUACAACAACCGAGUGCAGAGGGAAAUGCAGGUGAUUGUAGAGGACAGAAACGACAAUGCGCCUGUUUUCCAGGGCAUAAGCUUCUCCGCCAAUGUCAGCGAGACCUUGCCGGUGGGCUCCCUGGUGUUAUCUGUGCUGGCCACAGACAAAGACACAGGCUCGGCCGGCGCGGUGGUAUACUCCAUAGAAAAGGUCAUUCCUGCCACGGAAGGCAGUGAGUACCUCUUCAGGAUCCUACCCAAUGGUUCCAUCAUCCUCAAUGGCAGCCUCGACUACAACAGCAAGAGUUCCUUCUAUCAGCUGGAGCUGAAGGCCUGUGACUCGGGCGGCCUGUACAACAAUCACACCGUCAUCCAGUGCUCCUCAUCUGUCUUCGUGUCCAUCUCUGUAAUUGACAAGCCAGACCUGGACCCCCAGUUUGUUAGGGAGUUUUACUCAGCCUCCGUGGCUGAGGAUACACCCCAGGGAACCUCGGUGCUGAAGGUGGAGGCCAUGGAUGGUGACAGAGGCAUCAAUGACCCUGUGAUCUACAGCAUCUCCAAUUCCACAAGGCCUGGCUGGUUUGAUAUUGGCAAGCAAGAUGGGGUGAUCACAGUCAACAGUCCCCUGGACAGAGAGCAACUGCUGGAGGAGGAUGAGGAAGUGCAAGUGCAGGUCACGGCCACCGAGACGCACCCCAACAUCCACGGGCAGGAGGCCAAGGCGAGCAUAUGGGUCACGCUGAGAGUGACAGACGUCAAUGACCACGUACCUGAGUUUUACAACUGCAGCCUCCAAGACUGCGCAUUCACUCCCAACGAGACUCAAGUCAACUUCACUGGCUACGUGGAUGAGCACGCCUCCACGCGCAUCCCCAUUGAGGACCUCACCAUGGUGGUCUACGACCCAGACAAGGGCAGCAACGGCACCUUCCUGCUGACCUUGGGGGGCCCGGAUGCCGAAGCCUUUAGCGUCUCCCCGCAGCGGGCAGCGGGCUCGGUGGAUGUGCAGGUGCUGGUGAGGGAGCCGUCGCUGGUGGACUACGAGAGGCAGUCCGUGAUGCUCGUACAGGUCACAGCCACUGACUCUGUCAGCGGGAACACCUCUGUUGCCUCGGUGACCAUCCACCUUCGAGACACCAAUGACGACAGGCCCACGUUCCCCAGCAGCAUGUACAACCUCAGCGUCUUUGAGCACAGUGCUGUUGGCUAUGUGGUCACCGACAGCAUCCGCGCCUCCGAUCCCGACACAGGAGAGGGGGGCCGUAUCACCUACAGCCUGCUUCCAGGGAAUGGGGCGGACAUCUUUGCAGUGGAUCCAGACUCGGGGAAGGUGACGGUGAGCAACAGCGAGCUGCUGGACCGGGAGAAGCAGGCUGUGUACUACCUCACGCUGCAGGCCACGGACGGCGGGAACCUGUCGUCCUCGACCACGCUACAGAUCCAUGUGCUAGACGUCAACGAUAACAGUCCCGUGGUCAGCGGCUCCUACAACAUCUUUGUCCAGGAGGAGGAGGGAAAUGUCUCCGUGACCAUCCAGGCUCACGACAAUGACCAGCCAGACACCAACAACAGCCUGCUGCACUUCAGCCUCCUGCCCAGCCCCUUCAGCCACAACUUCUCAGCGGACCCCGACAAAGGCAUUCUCAGAAACCUGGGGCCCUUGGACCGAGAGGCCAUCGACCCUGCUCUGGGGGGCCGCAUCGUGCUGAGCGUGAACGUGUCUGACUCUGGCGAACCUGCCCUGUGGACCACAGUCAAUGUCACCAUCACCGUGGAGGACAUCAAUGAUAAUCUGCCCAUCUUCAACCAGUCCAGAUAUUUCUUCUCAGUGAGGGAGAGAGACCCAGGAGUGCAGGUGGGCAUGGUGGAGGCCUGGGAUGCAGACCAGACGGAAGCCAACAAUCGUAUCAGCUUCAGCCUGUCAGGGAGCGGCGCCAACAACUUCAUGAUCCGAGGCUCGGUGCUGGGGUCUGGGCAGGCAGUGGGCCGCCUCUCGUUGCCCUCGGAUGUGAGCCUGGACUACGAGACACAGGCCUCCUUCAGUCUGAUCGUGAGUGCCGAGAAUGCGGACACCCAGGGGCGUGAGACUACAGCAGAAGUCCUUGUGACUGUGGAGGAUGUGAAUGACGUGCCACCCACCCUGGACUCAGCCUCGCUCCAGGGCAUCCGGGUGGCCGAGAAUGGCUCACAGCACGGCAUUCUGGUCAACGUGGUGGCCCAGGACAGGGAUACCAUGUCCCAGGUGGAGGUACAGCUCAUGAAUGUCAUCUGCACCAAGGCUGGAGUUGACGUGGGCAGCCUGUGCCACGGCUGGUUCUCUGUGCUGGCCAAUGGCUCGGUGAUCAUCAACCAGAGCGAGGCCAUCGACUAUGAGGCCUGUGACUUGGUCACGCUGGUCGUGCGGGCCUAUGACCUCACAACAGACCCCCGCUUCCAGGCAUACAGUGACAACGGAAGCCUCCCCAUCACCAUCGAGGAUGUGAAUGACAACGCGCCUUACUUUCUGCCUGAGGAUAAGACUUUUGUGAUCAUCCCAGAACUCGUCAUGCCCAACCAGCAGGUGGCGUCCGUCCGGGCCAGAGAUGACGACUCAGGGAACAACGCAGCCAUCCUGUUCUCCAUCUUUCAAGUGGAUUUCAUCGCUAAGGAUGGGGCCGUGACCCCUUUCCAGGGCUUCUUCCGGGUCUCCACUUCCUCGGAGGCCAGCGUGUUCACUGGCAACAUUGACCUGGUGACCAGCCUUGAUUCCACUCUCCAAGGCACCUACCAAGUGACGGUCAAGGCCCAAGACAAGCCUUCUGAGGGUCCUGCCCAGGAAGCCAAAAUCACCCUAAACCUCUUCACCGUGGACCAGAGUUACCGCGUGAGGCUGCAGUUCUCACUGAACAAAGAGGACGUGGGCGCCAACUCGGACAAGAUUAAAGCGGCUCUUGCUCAGGCAACCAGGACUACUGUCUACAUUGUGAACAUUCAGGACAUAGACUCCCAGGUUCGGGCCCGAGGACGUUCCUAUCUUGAUGCCUAUUUUGUCUUCUCAAAUGGGUCGGCCUUGACCCUUGACCAGCUGAGUAUGAUGAUCCGGAAUGACCAGGACUCCCUGACGCAGCUGCUGCAGCUGGGGCUGGUGGUACUGGGCUCCCAGGACAGCCAAGAGUCGGAGUCACAGGACACACUCCGCAACGUCACCAUAGGACUGGGAGUGGCUUUGCUGCUGGCCAUUGUGAUCUUUAGCACGAUCAUCAUGUGUACCCAGAAGAGCUACCAGCGGAAGCUUCGGGCUAUGAAAGCCGCCAAGGAGGCCCGGAAGACAGCGGUGGGGGUGAUGCCCCCAGGCUCUGCCAUCCCUGGGACUAAUAUGUACAACACUGAGAGGGCCAAUCCCAUGCUGAACCUCCCCGCCAAGGACCUGGGCUUUGAGUCCCAUUCUUCCUCCAGCGACUUGGACCACAUCAGCGUCAACUCCCUGGAUGACAAUUCUGUGGAUCUGGAAAACAGCACGCAGGAAAUCAAGGCAAGAUGGGGGAUGAGUUGGUACCUGGGGUUUCUGACUUAGGGUGCUUCUCUGAAGAGGUGGGGUUCAGGACAGAGCUCGAGGGAUCUGCUGCUGACAUGGGUGUGUCUCUGCACUCAGCCUUGGGAAAUCCCAUGGCUUUGGAAUGGGACCCAAUCCUUAUUCCUCUACUCAUUCACUGUGACCCUGGGUGGGUGACUUCUUCCCUCUGGUUCUCAGUUUUCUAAUCUAUAAAUGGGGAUCAGAACACCAACUAUUCAAAACUGUUGUGAGGAUGAAAUAAGAGUGGGUAUAAAAACCAUCUGGCACAAAGCAAGUGCUCAGAAAUCUGGUUCCUUCCCUUUAUAUCCUUUAUAUAAAAGCUGGUGGGGUGGGAAGAGGAGAUCCGGAGAUGAACAUAAUCCAACUGAAGAGCAAAGAAGGAGCCCUGGCAUGGUCCCAUGGGGCCACAUCCAGAGCCCAGGAAGAGUGAGCUGUCCGGGAGGAAGGUGGGCUCAGAGCAGAAGGAGGAGCUGGCCUUCACUAACCUUGGCCUGGACACCACAG
Bubalus bubalis (water buffalo) is the source of this 4452-nucleotide RNA transcript. It is a transcript of the gene named cadherin related family member 2, with no coding region annotated. The transcript has 32 exons. The record is from RefSeq and is a predicted model, not a curated record. NCBI's taxonomy places the organism in Eukaryota, Metazoa, Chordata, Mammalia, Artiodactyla, Bovidae.